This 718-nucleotide ribosomal RNA is filed under the name Tephritis signatipennis. RNAcentral describes it as "partial 12S ribosomal RNA". Lineage: Eukaryota; Metazoa; Arthropoda; Insecta; Diptera; Tephritidae. The record is from RNAcentral.
AUGUAAGUUUUUGCAUGAUUUUUUGUUUAUUUUAAUAAUAAAUAAGUUAUAACAUAUUCUCAGUAAUUAAUUUUAUAAAUCAAAGAAAUUUGGAAUUAGUAAUUUUAUUAAGUAUUGGUUAAAUUUGUGCCAGCAUCCGCGGUUAUACAAAUAAUACAAAUGAAAAUUUUUCAGUGAAAGUAAUAAUAAUAAAAUAAAUAUAAAUUUAUUAAGUGAAAUUUUAAAUUUAUUAAAUUUUAAAUAUAUAUAUAUAAUUUAAAUCUUUUAAAUUUUAUUAUUAAACUAGGAUUAGAUACCCUAUUAUUAAAAAUGUAAUUUUAAACACUUAAGUAGUAAUAGCUAUGUUCUUGAAACUUAAAAGAUUUGGCGGUAUUUUAGUCUAUUCAGAGGAACCUGUUCUGUAAUUGAUAAUCCACAAUGUACCUUACUUAAAUUUGUAAUUCAGUUUAUAUACCGUCGUUAUUAGAAUAUUUUUUUAGAAAAAUAAUUUUCAUAAAUUUAUAAUAAAAUUAAUAUCAGAUCAAGGUGUAGCUUAUAUUUAAGUAGAAAUGGGUUACAAUAAAUUUAUUUAAAUGAAUUUAAAUUUGAAAUAUUUAAUGAAAGUGGAUUUGGUAGUAAAAUUUUAAAGAUUAAAAAUUUGACUUUAGCUCUAAAAUAUGUACACAUCGCCCGUCGCUCUUAUUAUUAAAGUAAGAUAAGUCGUAACAUAGUAGAUGUA